UAGAGGAAGUAAAAGUCGUAACAAGGUCUCCGUUGGUGAACCAGCGGAGGGAUCAUUACUGAGUUUACGCUCUAUAACCCUUUGUGAACAUACCUAUAACUGUUGCUUCGGCGGGUAGGGUCUCCGCGACCCUCCCGGCCUCCCGCCCCCGGGCGGGUCGGCGCCCGCCGGAGGAUAACCAAACUCUGAUUUAACGACGUUUCUUCUGAGUGGUACAAGCAAAUAAUCAAAACUUUUAACAACGGAUCUCUUGGUUCUGGCAUCGAUGAAGAACGCAGCGAAAUGCGAUAAGUAAUGUGAAUUGCAGAAUUCAGUGAAUCAUCGAAUCUUUGAACGCACAUUGCGCCCGCCAGCAUUCUGGCGGGCAUGCCUGUUCGAGCGUCAUUUCAACCCUCAAGCUCUGCUUGGUGUUGGGGCCCUACAGCUGAUGUAGGCCCUCAAAGGUAGUGGCGGACCCUCCCGGAGCCUCCUUUGCGUAGUAACUUUACGUCUCGCACUGGGAUCCGGAGGGACUCUUGCCGUAAAACCCCCAAUUUUCCAAAGGUUGACCUCGGAUCAGGUAGGAAUACCCGCUGAACUUAAGCAUAUCAAUA
Molecule: ribosomal RNA, 593 nt
Filed under: Colletotrichum queenslandicum
Lineage: Eukaryota; Fungi; Ascomycota; Sordariomycetes; Glomerellales; Glomerellaceae
Description: eukaryotic LSU rRNA
Rfam family: 5.8S ribosomal RNA (bases 231-384)
Source: RNAcentral